GCGUCAGUGGUGUAACGGAUAGAGCACGAGCUUUCGGAUAGAAUGAGAUGUGGGUUCGAGUCCCGUCUGAAGCG
This is a non-coding RNA of Parelaphostrongylus tenuis, 74 nucleotides long. The record is from the annotation of a GenBank genome assembly. NCBI's taxonomy places the organism in Eukaryota, Metazoa, Nematoda, Chromadorea, Rhabditida, Metastrongylidae.